RNAcentral lists this unclassified non-coding RNA (222 nucleotides) under uncultured Hygrocybe. Its description in RNAcentral is "partial internal transcribed spacer 2". The record is from RNAcentral. Lineage: Eukaryota; Fungi; Basidiomycota; Agaricomycetes; Agaricales; Hygrophoraceae.
AAUCCUCAAAAGAAAAGCUUGACUGCUUUCUCUUUUGGAAUUGGAGCGUGCUGGCCUUCUGUUAAUGAAGCCCAGCUCCUCUGAAAUACAUUAGCGAUGUGACAUCCGCAUGGCACCACGCUUGUCUGGCAUUGAUAAGUAUCUUCAUGCCUGAGUGUGUUGUGCAGCUGUGGAAAGUUUCGCUCGCUCAUAGCUUGAUGGGGUCAGCCCAUCCUUUGACCA